UACGAAGGGGGCUAGCGUUGCUCGGAAUCACUGGGCGUAAAGCGCACGUAGGCGGAUCUUUAAGUCAGGGGUGAAAUCCCAAGGCUCAACCUUGGAACUGCCUUUGAUACUGGGGAUCUCGAGUCCGGAAGAGGUGAGUGGAACUGCGAGUGUAGAGGUGAAAUUCGUAGAUAUUCGCAAGAACACCGGUGGCGAAGGCGGCUACCUGGCCCGUAAUUGACGCUGAGGCGCGAAAGCGUGGGGAGCAAACAGG
RNAcentral lists this ribosomal RNA (253 nucleotides) under uncultured bacterium. RNAcentral describes it as "partial 16S ribosomal RNA". It matches the Rfam family "Bacterial small subunit ribosomal RNA", at positions 524 to 776 of the family's 1533-position model. The record is from RNAcentral.